GCGGGAAGAGGCGGCGAUGGGCGAUGCGGCCCUCGUGCUGGGCCUCGGCCCCGCGCAGCCAUUUUGUGCGGGGCGCCGCGGCGGGGGCGGGCACGGCACUGGCUCCGCGCCCCCUCCCCGCAGCCCCGCGAACCUCCGGGCAGGGGAGAUGCGAGGGCAGCGAGCCGGGGCGGCGGGGAGGGCUGGGGACGGAUGGGCCCCGGCGUUGCGCUAUAGCUUGGCCUCGGCGCCUCUCCCUUUUCCCCCUCCCGAGCCCUGCGACUCAGCAUUCCCGGGGGCUCAGCGUGCGCUCCCCCGAACGCCCCCGCCAGUCUCUGCCUGCCGACGGCAUGAGCCCGCCGGUUCGCUCCUCUUGUAUAUCCCUGGCGGCUGUCUGCGUUAUUUGGGUUAGGGUGGUAUGUCCUGCGCAACACCCGGUAUUAUUUUUGUGGGGUCAGAUGACCCUGUCGCUGUUCCUUAUUUUGUCUUGUUGGGUGCGGUAUUUCUUCUAAGCUGCGGAGUUUGUGGAGUCUUUAUUUUCUCUUUGUUGCCAUAUAUUGCUUUAAGUGUAGAAAGCACGGCCGCAUGCCCCAGGAUGCGCUUACCCUUAGCACAUUGUGGAGGGAAUAGAGGAGAUGCCAUAUGUUGUGCAAGCGAACUUAAGCAAGAAAAGAGGGGAAAAAAAGUCUAGAUACUGGUUUUACUGCAAGACGAGUGUGUGGACAUGAUUCUUGAAAACCAAGUUUAGGCAUUCAUUCUUCUUAUGUGAGGUCUCUGAUCUGAAGCCACUAAUGUCAGCAGAGUGGACUUGGGAAAGUAGUGUAGCAGGCAGAGCUGUGCCCACACCUGUCAUGGAAAAAUAAGAUGGGAAAAAAUUAAAAUAGUUUUCUGUAGGACAGCUUCCUGAUUUUGGAAUCAGCAUUAUAUAAGUAAAAAUAGAAGUAUCUGAUCGGUGGGAAAACAUCACAAUUUCUGCGCCAGUUCAGGCAGUGUUCAUCUGGUGACUCUUCGUAGUUUUGUAUGGCUUUUUCUGAAAAUAAUUCCAUAAAUAUUCUCCCCACUCCUUUUAGUCCAUGGCUGGCAGUUGUGACAUGCAAUGUCCAACAGAGAGCAUUUAGCCCAUACCUUGGUCUUUGCUGUACAGUUUUACUCAGGGGCACUUGUUUGAGGGAAGCCUUAAGAUCUGUGAAAUGCUUGCCUGCUUCUCUCUGUAUCUUUCUCGAGAGGUAUUGCCGAACCUCUCUUAUCACAGGACUAAGUAUUUUCAUGUGAUGGUGGUCAGCUGUAUGUGUGCAUGUGUGUGAUAAUAUAAGGAAGGUGGCUGAGGUCACCUGGAGGGAUUUGCAGUCCUCAGUUGCUUCUGCACUUCCUACGCUGCUCUGAAUGGUUUGACACCACUUGCUAAGUCUGCUGCAUUCUGCAAGAACAAAUCAAGGUGCUUAUUACAGAAAGAAGCUCACAGUAGAUAAAUUAACUAGCUUUAACUUUUCUCCUCGAUUCUUAACAAUAUUUCUGGUUUUCUUACUGGUUGUGUUUUCUUGUGAAAUGUACUCUUGAAGGGAACAAGUUUCAUGGAAGUUCUGAUCUCUUUAGGGAUAGUCAUAUCCUAGGUUAGAUUGUGGGAUAGGAGGAGAGAUUGGUUUUUUGUUUGGAGUUUUUAUGUUUCUGGUGCUUUUUUUAAAGUCUACCUUAAUUUUUCUGUUUAAGGUUCUUAGCCUGUGAAGAGAAGGCCCUAAGCAACAUACGUAGUAACUCUGAAGCUGAUGUUGUUUUGGGGGAAAAGGGUUGAACCAGAUGACCUCCAGAAGUACCCUUCGACAUGAAUUAUUUCAUUAUUAUGUUCUGUUAUUAAAGGUCAGGGGGAGUAGACAGGAGUACAGGAAACCAAAACCAAACAAAAGCCCAGUGAUAUUGUAGUGUUCAAGUUAAAUAACUCACAUGUGAAAUACCGCUACAGAAUGCUUGUAGCUAAUGUGCUAGUCCAGUGAGAACUGACUUUCAUCUAUGAUGUGAAAUCUCGUAUUUACAAUAGGUAGAUUAGUUUGUUCCCUGUGCUUAUAGUCAAUUUUUGCUUUAAUUUAUCAUAUGCUUAUUGUGUUAUGUAAUUAAAGUUUGUGCAGCCAGUGAAUUUGCUGGAGUUGCUGUAGAAUUUGUGAAGCAAAGCAGUCUACCUAAAGAAAGUAAUUUGUGUCUAAUGUUUGAGUCAAAAAAACCCUGAAAAAAAGCAGUACCCCUUGCUUAAAUAAGGAGCUUGACUGUGUGUAAGGACUAGAGUGGUGUCACAUCUAAACUUGUCCAUGUUUGUUGUGCUGGUGGACGAAGUGUGGCUCUCAGCUGGCAAGUGCUGCGGCUGGUACAGGGUCUGUGUGUCUGUCCUGCUUCAGCAGCCAUCCUGGCUUAAGCACUUUUAAUAGUGACCUUUGCUAACCUGAGUUGUUUUGGCUGAUGCAGAUCAGGGAGCUCUCAGGCCUGUGGUGGGUUUAACAUCCCCUGUGAAGAAGCAGUAACCUGCUGAGGGAGGGUGUGGGGCCGCAGGCUCUGCUGGCACAGCUCUCUGCUUUUUGUCACACACAGGCUGCAGCGUGCAACCAACAGUGACCAUCGGGGGAAACUAAACUGUACCUGGGUUACUUUCUGGGAUGUCUAAAGAGUGAUUAAGCAUACCUGAUGUGAAGUCUAACACAGAUACCCUAGGAAAUUCUGGUGAUUAGAGAUCAUGGCAACCAUAGAGGAACUGGCCCAUCAAAUUUUUGAACAGCAAAUGGGAGAGGUUACACAUUCCCAGGAAGCUGUUACACAAACACUAAUGGAUGGGACACCACAACGAAUACAGAUCGUCCCUGCAGAUUCAGGCCUCUCUUUAUCACAGCGUAUACAGAUUGUCACAGAUCAGCAGACGGGCCAGAAGAUUCAGAUUGUUACAGCACUUGAUCAGAGCUCAGCAGGCAAGCAGUUCAUCUUAACAAAUCAUGAUGGCUCUACCCCAAGCAAGGUGAUCCUUGCCAGACAAGAUUCCACUCCAGGAAAAGUUAUCCUGGCAACUCCAGAUGCUGCAGGUGUCAACCAACUGUUUUUUGCAUCCCCUGAUAUAUCUGCACAACACAUCCAGAUUUUAACAGACAACUCACCCAAUGAACAGGGCUUAAAUAAAGUGUUUGAUCUGUGUGUUGUAUGUGGAGACAAAGCAUCAGGGCGUCAUUAUGGAGCAGUAACUUGUGAGGGAUGCAAAGGAUUCUUUAAAAGGAGUAUACGGAAGAAUUUAGUUUAUUCCUGCCGAGGAACAAAAGACUGUGUCAUUAACAAACACCACCGGAAUCGCUGUCAGUAUUGCAGGCUGCAGAGAUGCAUCGCCUUCGGGAUGAAACAAGAUUCUGUACAAUGUGAGAGGAAACCUAUUGAAGUGUCAAGAGAAAAAUCUUCUAACUGUGCAGCUUCUACAGAAAAAAUCUACAUUCGGAAAGAUCUUCGUAGUCCAUUAGCUGCAACCCCAACUUUUGUAACAGACAAUGAAACAGCGAGAUCAACGGGUUUGCUGGAAUCAGGAAUGUUUGUUAACAUUCAUCCGUCUGCAAUAAAAAGUGAGCCUACUGUGCUGAUGACUCCAGAUAAGGUAGAAGCAUGUCAAGGAGAUUUAAGUACACUGGCAAAUGUGGUGACUUCAUUAGCAAAUCUCAGUAAAUGCAAAGACAUGUCACAAAGCAGUACAGAGCUAUCUAUGAUUGAGAGUUUAAGUAAUGGAGAUGCAUCAUUAUCUGAACCCAAGCAAGAAGAACAAGCUAGUAGUGAUGUUACAAGGGCAUUUGAUACUCUUGCAAAAGCAUUAACUCCAGGAGAGAGCACAGCAUGCCAGAGCUCUGAAAGUAUUGAUGCCAGUGCACAGCUGCUUGGUGGAGAAACAAGCAUGAACAUUGUUGAAAUAGAGGGGCCACUACUCAGUGAUGCUCAUGUAGCAUUCAGGCUCACCAUGCCUUCUCCUAUGCCUGAUUAUCUUAAUGUUCACUAUAUCUGCGAGUCUGCCUCCAGGUUGCUUUUCUUGUCCAUGCACUGGGCACGUUCCAUUCCAUCUUUCCAAGCUUUAGGACAGGAUAACAGCAUAUCAUUAGUAAAAGCCUGCUGGAAUGAACUUUUUACACUUGGUCUAGCACAAUGCUCACAAGUUAUGAAUGUGGCAACGAUCUUAGCUGCAUUUGUUAAUCACCUUCAAGGCAGUUUACAACAAGAUAAGCUGCCAACAGACAGAGGAAGACUAGUAAUGGAGCAUGUCUUCAAAUUGCAAGAGUUUUGUAACAGCAUGGUUAAGCUGUGUCUAGAUGGAUAUGAAUAUGCAUAUUUGAAAGCAAUCGUCCUCUUCAGUCCUGAUCACCCAGGUCUAGAAAAUGUGGUACAGAUUGAGAAAUUUCAAGAAAAAGCUUACAUGGAGUUCCAAGACUAUGUAACAAAGGCAUAUCCGGAUGAUACUUACAGACUAUCUAGACUUCUUCUCCGAUUGCCUGCUCUUAGGCUGAUGAGUGCUGCCAUCACUGAAGAGCUGUUCUUUGCAGGACUAAUUGGAAACGUUCAGAUCGAUAGCAUCAUCCCGUACAUUCUGCGAAUGGAGACAGCAGACUACAACUCUCAGAUCAUCGGUCAUGCCGUAUAAAAGCAGCAGUCCAGGAUUCUGUACCAUGGCAAUCAUGGUGAUGUAAAUGCAUACCCUGUCUCCAAGAGAUGGUAAUAAGCCUUCCAGUGCACCUUUCCAAAGAAGGCUCAUAUUCCUCCUUUCCAGUACACUUGGGAAACAUGGUGGAGUGUAUUGGGAUAUAGGAUCACUUCCUGUUCUUCAUCUGUCUUCAAGGACUUGUAAAUUAACUUGAUAACUGAAGAAAGUCAAGAAUUGUCCAUCCUAUUUUUGUAGAUAGACGGACUUGGAAUAUUUGUUUAUGAAGUCCAGGCUUACGAGGAAACUGCAGAAGCUUUGACUGAACUAAGCACUGUUUUGGAGGGGAUGUCCUCAGAACCUGAUUUUCUCUGGAUUCCUGUCCUUGUUUCCUCUUCGUGCCCUAGUCUGUUUGAAUAGAAGUUAACUUCAGUAACGCAUGGACUGCCACUACCACGGACUUCUGGGUCAAGACUACUUGCUUAGGAUGUGUUAACUCAUAAGCACAGAAACCUUGGUUGUGUUUCACAUCAGGUUGUUUAAAUUCAGGCAUGUGUAUAUUGUGAGGGCCAAAAAACCCCUGCAUUUUAUGAUCUUGGAUACCUCUGACAUUUGGACCUCUAAAGAGCCAAAGUGCAUACAUACAAUGCAUAGCAAACAGCUCUGGCUACUGGUAAGUGACCUUUCCCCCCCCCCCCAGUUUUACAUUUUUAUAAUAAUAACUUUUCAAAGUUGAUAUAAAGGUAGUGUGCAGCUGAUCUGUGCUGCCUCCCAAGUAAUCUCUUUUGUCUUUCUGAUGAUCUAAAAGACACAUCCCAUACAGGAGGUUGUUGUUUCAGUGUUACUCACUUUGCUCAAAGUGCUCAGCAAGACCUUCAUUAAUUAUUUCAUUAAUCAUUCUUAAACUAUAAAUUCAUCCUUUUGAUAAGGAAUGAGGCAUAACAGGGUUUUCUCAGGAAUGGGAGCUUUAAAACAGGUAAAUACAGGAAUCAACAUGGUUUUUCCUUGUUCAUGUUAAACAUUACAGUCAUCUAAGAACAAUGCAACAGCUCAUGGAAAAACCAAACCAUGGAGUUAUGGUUUUGUUUUGGUUACUUUAAGAUAACUGCUUCUAAGUUAAAUUAAAUGUAUCAAGUUACCUUUAACUGAGGCCCUUAGUGUUUCGAACAGUUAUUUUUUAUGAUUACAUGAUCUCACAUUACCACCUGUGUGAUUUAUUGUCAUUUAUAGUCUUGUGAAUGAAUAUUCUUUGGUACUGAAUGACAGACUGGCUAAUAUUACUGGGUUCUGUCAGUACCCCUGUCAAUACAAUAACAAAAGUGUGAGUAUUGAAGCUUUCUCCGCAAUGGAUGUUAAAAUAUCUCAUUGUUUUUGUGAUUUCUUUUCACCUUUAAAUUACUUGUCAACUUUCUGAUCUUUACAAGCCUUGACAGUUUUCAGAGCCAGUCAGGAUUUAACCAAAUUGUGGCAUUUACCAGCCAAAAACUCUUUGCCAAUGAAAGGAUAAGUUUAGUUUCAAUAGCUUUAAAAUUUUCAAUGUUAAGAGCAAGAAAAAUCAUUUUAAUAUAAAUCACAUGAAAGGAAAAACAAUUUUAUACAUUUUAGAAUCCUAUAAUUUAAAGAUUAUAGUACUGUUACACAUAAUAGGCUUACUAGUUCAAAUAUUUUUCAUGAAACUGUACGUUGCACACAUGUCUGUGGGUUUAGGUUGCUUGUUUCAUACUGCUAAAGUUCCUAGUGCAAAUAAUUGUUAUAUUUAAAACUUUUUCCAAGAGUACCUUCACUGCAAUACCUUCUGUAGUUACAAACCUAUCUGUCCACCCAUCUAUUCUUGUCAUGUGAUCUUGAGUGUCAGUGAAAGUCAGUCUGUUCUUUUUGAAACUGGUCUGUUCAUUUUGUUCAGCCGCUGUGGUUUGCUAGUACAUCAGUUCCAGUGUAAGCAAUACAGUGUCACUGUAGUUGUCUUGCUGUUGUAUAAAGAAGUCACUAUAAAUGUCUUGAAACCUGGCUAAAUUGGAAAACUCUAUUUUGGUUGUAUUUUUAAAAAUAAAUUGUAACUUUCUAUUAUAGAAAACAAUUGCAAUAUCCUAUUACUUUGGUAGUGUUUUAUAUGAAUUGUCGUAUGGACCUAGAACACUGUAAAUGAUUACAAAUAGUUUGUGGAUCUUUCACAUUUUUAUUACAGAGUGUAGGAUUGUCAGUUAUAUUCAGUCUCUGGGAUUUGUGGUAGCUGCAAUAUCUUGCUGUUUGCUAAACUUUGUUGCUAUUAACCCUCUGUUUCCAUGCUUACUACUUUCUGGCCUAUGCAUUUGAAAAUUAAUAAUUUAUUGUAAAAUUUAAUUUACCAAUGUUUCGUUUUUUAAAAUGCUGUAUGGAAAUAUAUAUUGUAAUGAACCCAAAUCAUAGAUCUUCAUGUCAUAUAAUGCAAUAAUGGAUUUUUGGAAAUUAGUAUUUGAUCCAUUAUGGAUCAGUUUUAGGUUGAAAGUUAUAGUAUGGUUAAACAAAGCUUUUUCCUUUUGCAAGAAACAGACUUCAGAUAUUCAAGUAAACUUAUCUCAGUUUCAAAUACCACUGGAUAAAUAAUUAAUUUAUUAUUGCUUAAAACUGUGAAAUUAGCACAA
Corvus hawaiiensis (hawaiian crow) is the source of this 7236-nucleotide RNA transcript. It is a transcript of the gene named nuclear receptor subfamily 2 group C member 1, with no coding region annotated. The transcript has 17 exons. The record is from RefSeq and is a predicted model, not a curated record. Lineage: Eukaryota; Metazoa; Chordata; Aves; Passeriformes; Corvidae.